Molecule: ribosomal RNA, 1417 nt
Filed under: uncultured Streptomyces sp.
Lineage: Bacteria; Bacillati; Actinomycetota; Actinomycetes; Kitasatosporales; Streptomycetaceae
Description: bacterial SSU rRNA
Rfam family: Bacterial small subunit ribosomal RNA
Source: RNAcentral
GUCGAACGAUGAACCACUUCGGUGGGGAUUAGUGGCGAACGGGUGAGUAACACGUGGGCAAUCUGCCCUUCACUCUGGGACAAGCCCUGGAAACGGGGUCUAAUACCGGAUACUGACCCUYGCAGGCAUCUGCGAGGUUCGAAAGCUCCGGCGGUGAAGGAUGAGCCCGCGGCCUAUCAGCUUGUUGGUGAGGUAAUGGCUCACCAAGGCGACGACGGGUAGCCGGCCUGAGAGGGCGACCGGCCACACUGGGACUGAGACACGGCCCAGACUCCUACGGGAGGCAGCAGUGGGGAAUAUUGCACAAUGGGCGAAAGCCUGAUGCAGCGACGCCGCGUGAGGGAUGACGGCCUUCGGGUUGUAAACCUCUUUCAGCAGGGAAGAAGCGAAAGUGACGGUACCUGCAGAAGAAGCGCCGGCUAACUACGUGCCAGCAGCCGCGGUAAUACGUAGGGCGCAAGCGUUGUCCGGAAUUAUUGGGCGUAAAGAGCUCGUAGGCGGCUUGUCACGUCGGUUGUGAAAGCCCGGGGCUUAACCCCGGGUCUGCAGUCGAUACGGGCAGGCUAGAGUUCGGUAGGGGAGAUCGGAAUUCCUGGUGUAGCGGUGAAAUGCGCAGAUAUCAGGAGGAACACCGGUGGCGAAGGCGGAUCUCUGGGCCGAUACUGACGCUGAGGAGCGAAAGCGUGGGGAGCGAACAGGAUUAGAUACCCUGGUAGUCCACGCCGUAAACGGUGGGCACUANGUGUGGGCAACAUUCCACGUUGUCCGUGCCGCAGCUAACGCAUUAAGUGCCCCGCCUGGGGAGUACGGCCGCAAGGCUAAAACUCAAAGGAAUUGACGGGNGGCCCGCACAAGCGGCGGAGCAUGUGGCUUAAUUCGACGCAACGCGAAGAACCUUACCAAGGCUUGACAUACACCGGAAAGCAUCAGAGAUGGUGCCCCCCUUGUGGUCGGUGUACAGGUGGUGCAUGGCUGUCGUCAGCUCGUGUCGUGAGAUGUUGGGUUAAGUCCCGCAACGAGCGCAACCCUUGUCCCGUGUUGCCAGCAAGCCCUUCGGGGUGUUGGGGACUCACGGGAGACCGCCGGGGUCAACUCGGAGGAAGGUGGGGACGACGUCAAGUCAUCAUGCCCCUUAUGUCUUGGGCUGCACACGUGCUACAAUGGCCGGUACAAUGAGCUGCGAUACCGCAAGGUGGAGCGAAUCUCAAAAAGCCGGUCUCAGUUCGGAUUGGGGUCUGCAACUCGACCCCAUGAAGUCGGAGUCGCUAGUAAUCGCAGAUCAGCAUUGCUGCGGUGAAUACGUUCCCGGGCCUUGUACACACCGCCCGUCACGUCACGAAAGUCGGUAACACCCGAAGCCGGUGGCCCAACCCCUUGUGGGAGGGAGCUGUCGAAGGUGGGACUGGCGAUGGGACGA